AGGGUGCAAGCGUUACUCGGAAUUACUGGGCGUAAAGCGUGCGUAGGUGGUUUGUUAAGUCUGAUGUGAAAGCCCUGGGCUCAACCUGGGAAUGGCAUUGGAAACUGGCUGACUGGAGUGCGGUAGAGGGUAGUGGAAUUCCCGGUGUAGCAGUGAAAUGCGUAGAUAUCGGGAGGAACAUCCGUGGCGAAGGCGACUACCUGGACCAGCACUGACACUGAGGCACGAAAGCGUGGGGAGCAAACAGGAUUAGAUACCCCUG
Molecule: ribosomal RNA, 262 nt
Filed under: uncultured bacterium
Lineage: Bacteria
Description: partial 16S ribosomal RNA
Rfam family: Bacterial small subunit ribosomal RNA
Source: RNAcentral